GUCGGGAUAGCUCAGCUGGUAGAGCAGAGGACUGAAAA
RNAcentral lists this transfer RNA (38 nucleotides) under Artocarpus heterophyllus (jackfruit). RNAcentral's name for it is "partial tRNA-Phe". The record is from RNAcentral. RNAcentral also lists the same sequence under 149 other names. Lineage: Eukaryota; Viridiplantae; Streptophyta; Magnoliopsida; Rosales; Moraceae.